CCGUCAUUCAGUCACCUUGCCCUCACCAGGUGUUGAAUGAAGACCCCACCACCACCUCAGCCUUUGCUAGGAUUGUAGCAGAUGAUGGAUUGUUGAUGGAUAAACUGUGGCACCACAUCGUCUCUCUUCUCUCCCCUGACAGCACAUUAACAGACGCGAGGAGUCUCAGAGCUGGGCUGCUGAUUUGGAAAGUUGUGACUCUGAAACAGAGGCUGCAGAAACAGACCCAGUGUUCCCA
Molecule: non-coding RNA, 238 nt
Organism: Paralichthys olivaceus (Japanese flounder)
Lineage: Eukaryota; Metazoa; Chordata; Actinopteri; Pleuronectiformes; Paralichthyidae
Source: RefSeq, a predicted model, not a curated record